RNAcentral lists this ribosomal RNA (252 nucleotides) under uncultured bacterium. RNAcentral describes it as "partial 16S ribosomal RNA". It matches the Rfam family "Bacterial small subunit ribosomal RNA", at positions 524 to 776 of the family's 1533-position model. The record is from RNAcentral.
UACGUAGGUGGCAAGCGUUAUCCGGAUUUAUUGGGCGUAAAGGGUGCGUAGGCGGUAUGUUAAGUCUAAAAUCAAAGCCCGAGGCUUAACCUCGGUUCGUUUUAGAAACUGGCAAACUAGAGUGCAGUAGAGGCAAGUGGAAUUUCUAGUGUAGCGGUUAAAUGCGUAGAUAUUAGAAGGAACACCAGUGGCGAAGGCGGCUUGCUGGGCUGUAACUGACGCUGAGGCACGAAAGCGUGGGGAGCAAAUAGG